This is a long non-coding RNA of Gopherus evgoodei (Goodes thornscrub tortoise), 173 nucleotides long. RefSeq lists it as uncharacterized. The transcript has 3 exons. NCBI's taxonomy places the organism in Eukaryota, Metazoa, Chordata, Testudines, Testudinidae. The record is from RefSeq and is a predicted model, not a curated record.
AUUCAAAGAUUAAAAAAAGGAAUAUUAGCAUUUAUGAUGAUACUCGAGUAAAAUAGUAUUAUUGUCUAUAUGUCUCUUAGAAGGUUGUGGUAACCCGUGUCUGAACUGCUUAAUGGAUAAAUGACUUUGUAUAAUUGCCAGGAUGUUUGGGAGAAGGAGAGUAUCAGAUGGUA